Molecule: ribosomal RNA, 496 nt
Filed under: uncultured bacterium
Lineage: Bacteria
Description: partial 16S ribosomal RNA
Rfam family: Bacterial small subunit ribosomal RNA
Source: RNAcentral
AUGAACGCUGGCGGCGUGCCUCAUCCAUGCAAGUCGAGCGCACGGACGAGAAGCUUGCUUCUCUGAUGUUAGCGGCGGACGGGUGAGUAACACGUGGAUAACCUACCUAUAAGACUGGGAUAACUUCGGGAAACCGGAGCUAAUACCGGAUAAUAUUUUGAACCGCAUGGUUCAAAAGUGAAAGACGGUCUUGCUGUCACUUAUAGAUGGAUCCGCGCUGCAUUAGCUAGUUGGUAAGGUAACGGCUUACCAAGGCAACGAUGCAUAGCCGACCUGAGAGGGUGAUCGGCCACACUGGAACUGAGACACGGUCCAGACUCCUACGGGAGGCAGCAGUAGGGAAUCUUCCGCAAUGGGCGAAAGCCUGACGGAGCAACGCCGCGUGAGUGAUGAAGGUCUUCGGAUCGUAAAACUCUGUUAUUAGGGAAGAACAUAUGUGUAAGUAACUGUGCACAUCUUGACGGUACCUAAUCAGAAAGCCACGGCUAACUACGUG